RNAcentral lists this ribosomal RNA (253 nucleotides) under uncultured bacterium. RNAcentral's name for it is "partial 16S ribosomal RNA". It matches the Rfam family "Bacterial small subunit ribosomal RNA", at positions 526 to 779 of the family's 1533-position model. The record is from RNAcentral.
CGUAGGGGCAAGCGUUAUCCGGAUUUACUGGGUGUAAAGGGAGCGUAGACGGUGAUGUAAGUCAGAUGUGAAAGCCCGGGGCUCAACCCCGGGACUGCAUUUGAAACUAUGUCACUAGAGUGCAGGAGAGGUAAGUGGAAUUCCUAGUGUAGCGGUGAAAUGCGUAGAUAUUAGGAGGAACACCAGUGGCGAAGGCGGCUUACUGGACUGUAACUGACGUUGAGGCUCGAAAGCGUGGGGAGCAAACAGGAUU